UAGACCGCGGAGGUCAUUAAAAAUACCCUUCUGUGUAUUUUACCUGUUUUUGGGAUAAUGGAAUUAGUAAAAUAUUCCAUAGAACAAGUUUUCAAACUAUUAUUCAUAAUGAUAUUAGUCUGAUUUUGUAAGUAAAACUUUCAACAACGGAUCUCUUGGUUCUCGCAUCGAUGAAGAACGCAGCGAAAUGCGAUAAGUAGUGUGAAUUGCAGAAUUCAGUGAAUCAUCGAAUCUUUGAACGCACAUUGCGCCUUCUAGUAUUCUGGGAGGCAUGCCUGUUUGAGCGUCAUAAACUUACUCAAGCAGUUUGCUUGGAUAUGAAGAAGAGCACAUAAGGCUCUCCUUUGAAAUGUAUUAGUAGAUCACUGUUUUGAUGUAAUAGUCUUAUUAGCUGUGAUUUGUAUACAACUAUAUCUUGCUUUAACAUAUAUUUUUUAUGGUCCUCAAAUCAGGUAGGGAUACCCGCUGAACUUAAGCAUAUCAAUAA
Molecule: ribosomal RNA, 487 nt
Filed under: uncultured Ascomycota
Lineage: Eukaryota; Fungi; Ascomycota
Description: eukaryotic LSU rRNA
Rfam family: 5.8S ribosomal RNA (bases 136-289)
Source: RNAcentral